ACGUUUCUUAGACUGUUUGAUAGGUUGUAGGCUUCUUAAGGGUAAAAAGUAGCUUAGUGCAUAAUGCUAAAAAAAUAACUUCAAUCACGUGAAAAAGUCUACGAAUUUUCAGCAGUCGACUAUGACAUGUGAAAUGUCACAUGGAAAGAAACUAAUUCUGCAAAGAUAAAUUUUGUCCUUGAAUGGUUGCUUGAAAGUUUGACACAAGGUUUUCAGUCCCAGAAAUACCAGCAUCAUCAUAGAAAUUUUAAACAUAAUGUAUAAAUUCAUUAGUUUAAUACUACUUGGGGCUAUUAGUUAUGGCUAUGAAUUUGUUUUAUUACAUUUGCAUGUCCACACCAACAUUCUUAUUCUCACUCCUACCCAUUUUGCUGUCAUCUGUGAACGUUAUCGAGACGUGGCAAUCUGUCUUUGUACUUGUUCACGCUAGCUUUUAGACAAUUAGAAAUAUAUUGAAAGGGCUUUAAGAUAGUUGGACAGGACCGAAUGCUGUUAUAAGAUUGAUAACGGAAUUUCUCGUCAAUAAUGAGAAGAGUAUGCGUCCCGAAAUGAACGGUGGAUUAAACAGACAAGGAAUGAAACGAACGGGAACCGGCGGAUGGCAUAACCCCCUUUCCACGUCAGCCCAUUCGUCCGGAUGGUAAUUAAAAGGAACCGGCUGUACGGACAGUAUUUCAGCAGGCCGAACGACUUACUACUAGCUAGGCCGUAUAGGCAAGUGAUUUUCCAAUUUACUUAAUUUGACUUCGACAGUUGUAUUUCGCCAUUAAAGAAGCUGGUGAGGCGACGAAUCAAAAGCGGAGACGGUCCGAAGCGGAUCGAGAUGAGUAGAAGACGACCGAAUCCAUUGAGUUGGAAAGAGUCGCUCGACGGUUCGACGAGGCGUUCACAGGGAAAAUCCGGUCGUUAAAAAGAAAGGAAAACAAAAAGAAAAUGACAGAACGAAUGCUCUGAGAAAUGAACUGAUGACGAUGUAUAUAGCGAGGCAUUGAUUUGCAUACGCCUCACUGGCUUUUGUAACACAAUGCAUAGAGUGCUCCCUACAUGUUGACGCGAAAAAGAAGAAUUCAGCUAGCGCAACACGCGACCUAUAGAGUCGCUGCUCUUGUUCUCAAUCUUCUUUGUCGAGUCCUACUCGACUCUUGCUCUUGCUGCUCCGCUAAAUGGUCCGCAAACAGAAAGAUAAUCCUACAUCUCCCUAUUCGAAAGCAUAGGAAAGAAGUAGAACAAAACAAAUCAAGAAAUACAAAAGAAAAAAUGUAUAUGUUUGAUAAAAAUCUCGUCGGAAAGAAAUGCAAUCAAUUUGAAAAGUUUGCAUUAUUUAAUUGCUAUCAGUGGUGAUGGGAUGCUUAGUGGAGGCCAAAGAUAAUGUCUCUAGUUCCAUUUCCAAGUCUGCACUAAAUCAACACACAACACAAUCAAUGGUUCGUAAAUGCCUUUGCAAAUGAUGAUGCGACGAACCGCAGAAAGCGAACGGCGGUCGUCUUAAUCAUGUCAAUGGAGAGAAUGCCGCUUCAUCGCUUUCUCGAUGACAACGCUCCAGCGAACAUCCAUCUCUUUCCGCUCGUUCGAUCUUUUCCAUUCUGCGUAUAACCAAAGUCAAAAACAAGUUUUCCUAUAAAGUGCUAGACAGUCUCUCGAUGUCGUAACUUUUGAACCCAUCUUCUUCCUGAUGGCUCGUCAUCGUUUCUUUUUUCGCUUUAUUGCUUUUUGUUGAUAAAAUAAUGUCGCGUGAUUCAAUCGAAAGCUAUAUAAUGACUCGUGUGUUGUGUAUCUAGUUUUUAAUGUCUUUCUUCGUUUCCUUUCUUUUUUUGAC
This is a long non-coding RNA of Daphnia magna, 1816 nucleotides long. RefSeq lists it as uncharacterized. The record is from RefSeq and is a predicted model, not a curated record. The transcript has 3 exons. NCBI's taxonomy places the organism in Eukaryota, Metazoa, Arthropoda, Branchiopoda, Diplostraca, Daphniidae.